Molecule: ribosomal RNA, 124 nt
Filed under: Candidatus Cryosericum hinesii
Lineage: Bacteria; Pseudomonadati; Candidatus Cryosericota; Candidatus Cryosericia; Candidatus Cryosericales; Candidatus Cryosericaceae
Description: partial 16S ribosomal RNA
Rfam family: Bacterial small subunit ribosomal RNA
Source: RNAcentral
UUUUCGAAGAGUUCGAUCCUGGCUCAGAAUGAACGCUGGCGGCGUGCUUUACACAUGCAAGUCGAGCGGAGACCUUGUCGAAGGGCAACCGGAGAUGAUGUCUCAGCGGCAAACGGGUGAGUAA